RNAcentral lists this long non-coding RNA (1044 nucleotides) under Anser brachyrhynchus (Pink-footed goose). Its description in RNAcentral is "lncRNA (ENSABRG00000013677.1)". Lineage: Eukaryota; Metazoa; Chordata; Aves; Anseriformes; Anatidae. The record is from RNAcentral.
GUCAUUUGGCCUCUGAUUGCUCUAACUACCAAAUGAUAGCCAGGUGUUAUGGACUUCUCUGUCACUUCAGUGUCCACUCAAAAACGGUUCUUGCAGUGGAUGGUAGGCAAUUUAGGAAAUGAUUCUCAUUACUGGGAUUACUGCAGAGCCAAGAACAGAAUUAACUUGAGCAACACACUUUGCUUCUAAAAGCCUUUAGUAGAGAUAAGCACCUCACAAAAUGAGCUGGGCUUUCAUUGUAAUAUAAACAAAAAAUAUCUGUGAAGAAACUCUGUCAGUAUAAGCCAUUGAACACAGGAGGUUUGUGAUGGAGGCUCACCUGGAGGCUUUUACUCUCCAAUCUGUGAACACUGCAAAAAUGAAUCCAUAGUAGGCACCUGAUAAGGACUUGGUUUAGUCAGUUGAUGGAUGCUUUCACAGAAAUGUUCUGCUCUGAUACACGCAGGGCUGAAUAUAGUGAAAGGAGACGAUAAAUGCCAACAUUUCAAGUCAUGCUACUUUAGCCUCUCUCUGAGUUCGUUUGGUUGAGGGCUGACUCCUGUGUUUGGUCACAGGUGGGGCAUAUGUCCUCUGUACCAGGUCCUCUGUGCCAGAAAGGCUAUUUCAAGUUCCCCUGCGUAGGGAUUUGUGCUGCAGUUGUGGAGGGACUCCAGCAGUGUGGCUUCACCAUGCCUUUCAGAUGUGCCUUUCCUCCUGUUGCUUAUCACGGUGCUGAGAUUCAGGGUUUUAUUUCUCCUUCUGGAACCGAAGCUCCCUUGUCUUCCCUGUUUGUCCUCAUGGAGACCCAGAGACAUGGCUUAUGAAGCAGGACAUUUUUUCUCAUGCCUGACACUGAAACCAAGUUCUGUCUUCACAAUCUGUCUGUAAUAUUUUAAAAUGAGUAAGUGAGUAACCAGAUCCUCUUUGCUGCUUUGAAAGUACCAGCGUGAAGUUUUACUCCUGAUAAUGUACACUGUGGACAUAUCCAGGGACCUCAGCAGGGUGAAGCAGGAGCUGUGCAAGCACAAUCCGUUAGACUACUCAGCCGUUAGACUACUUCAUAUG